Molecule: ribosomal RNA, 3072 nt
Filed under: Egibacter rhizosphaerae
Lineage: Bacteria; Bacillati; Actinomycetota; Nitriliruptoria; Egibacterales; Egibacteraceae
Description: 23S ribosomal RNA
Rfam family: Bacterial large subunit ribosomal RNA
Source: RNAcentral
CGCGAGCAUCGUCUCGGCAAGUUGCAACGGGCACCAGGUGGAUGCCUAGGCGCUGGAAGCCGAUGAAGGACGUUGCAGGCUGCGAUAAGCCUCGGGGAGCUGCCAAGCAAGCGACGAUCCGGGGAUUUCCGAAUGGGAAAACCUGGCACGGGUCAUGCCGUGUCACCGUCGCCUGAACACAUAGGGCGAUGGGAGGGAACCCGGGGAACUGAAACAUCUCAGUACCCGGAGGAAGAGAAAGCAACCGCGAUGCCCCUAGUAGUGGCGAGCGAACGGGGUAGAGCCUAAACCCGCGUGGUGGCAAGGCGGCAGCCGUUGCCACGUGGGGGUCGUGGGACUCGAGGGGAAGACCUGCCGGUCUUCCAAGGAGUUACAAAGCUCGCGGAUAGCCGAAUGGCCUGGAACGGCCAGCCGAAGGAGGUAAUAGCCCUGUAGGCGAAAUCCGACGAGCCUCCUGUCGAGGAUCCCGAGUAGGACGGAACCCGUGAAACUCCGUCUGAAUCAGCGGGGACCACCCCGUAAGGCUAAACACUCUCCAGCGACCGAUAGCGCACCAGUACCGUGAGGGAAAGGUGAAAAGCACCCCGGGAGGGGAGUUAAAAGUACCUGAAACCUGGUGCCUACAAGCCGUCGGAGCUGCCUUCGGGCGGUGACGGCGUGCCUUUUGAAGAAUGAGCCGGCGAGUUAGCGAUCAGUAGCGAGGUUAACCGGUAGACGGGAAGCCGUAGCGAAAGCGAGUCCGAACAGGGCGACACAGUUGCUGGUCCUAGACCCGAAACGGUGUGAGCUACCCAUGGCCAGGCUGAAGCGCGGGUAAGACCGCGUGGAGGGCCGAACCCACCUAGGUUGAAAACUGGGGGGAUGAGCUGUGGGUAGAGGUGAAAAGCCAAUCGUACACCGUGAUAGCUGGUUCUCCCCGAAAUGCAUUUAGGUGCAGCGUUGCGUGUUCCGUAUCGGAGGUAGAGCACUGCUUGGACGCGGGGGCCUAAAAGCUUACCAACUUCAGGCAAACUCCGAAUGCCGGUACGUCAAGCGCAGCAGUGAGUCUGCGGGGGAUAAGCUCCGUAGACGAGAGGGAAACAGCCCAGACCGACAGCUAAGGUCCCAAAGUCAUGGCUGAGUGGCAAAGGAUGUGGGACUUCACAGACAACCAGGAGGUUGGCUUAGAAGCAGCCACCCUUGAAAGAGUGCGUAAUAGCUCACUGGUCAAGAGGUCCUGCGCCGACAAUGUAACGGGUCUAAGCCAUGCACCGAAGCUUCGGGAGUACACCGAUACGCGAAAGCGGGUGUGCUCAGUAGGGGAGCGUCGAUCCGCGGGUGAAGCGGCGGGGAAACCCAGCCGUGGACGCGGGUGGAGUGAGAAUGCCGGCAUGAGUAGCGAAAGAGGGGGGAGGAACCCCUCCGCCGAAUGUCCAAGGGUUCCUGGGGAAGGUUCAUCCGCCCAGGGUAAGUCGGGACCUAAGGCGAGGCCGAGAGGCGUAGUCGAUGGACAACAGGUUGAUAUUCCUGUACCAGUUCCAUACCGCCCACAGCCGAAUCCAGCCUGCUAAGGAAACCCUUCGGGGCUACCGACCCGGCUGGUAGUAGGCUAGCGAUGGGGUGACGCAGAAGGGUAUGGCAACCCCGGCGACGGUAGACCGGGGGUAAGUGCGUAGGCCGCGGUCCAGGCAAAUCCGGACCGCAUCACGGCUGAGACACGACGCCGACGCAUCAAAGCGGAAGUGCCAGACCCCAUACUGCCAAGAAAAGCCUCUAGCGAGGUGUGGAGCUGCCCGUACCCCAAACCGACUCAGGUGGACAGGUAGAGAAUACCGAGGCGAUCGAGCGAAUCCUGGUUAAGGAACUCGGCAAAUUGGCCCCGUAACUUCGGGAGAAGGGGUGCCUCUGGCGGUGACGGACCUUGCGUCCUGAGCUGCUGGGGGCCGCAGAGACCAGGCCCAAGCGACUGUUUACUAAAAACACAGGUGCAUGCGAAGCCGUAAGGCGAUGUAUAUGCACUGACGCCUGCCCGGUGCUGGAACGUUAAGGGGAGGGGUUAGCCUUUUGGCGAAGCUCCGAACCCAAGCGCCAGUAAACGGCGGCGGUAACUAUAACCGUCCUAAGGUAGCGAAAUUCCUUGUCGGGUAAGUUCCGACCUGCACGAAUGGCGUAACGACUUGGGCACUGUCUCAACCAGGAGCUCGGCGAAAUUGCAAUGCGAGUAAAGAUGCUCGCUACGCGCAGCAGGACGGAAAGACCCCGGGAGCUUUACUGCAGCUUGGUGUUGGGGUUCGGCAUUGUGUGUGCAGGAUAGGUGGGAGGCUAGGAAGCCCGGACGCUAGUUCGGGUGGAGCCACCCUUGGAAUACCACCCUCACAAUGUGGAGCUUCUAACCUCGGUCCGUUAUCCGGAUCAGGGACAGCGCCUGGUGGGCAGUUUAACUGGGGCGGUUGCCUCCUAAAAGGUAACGGAGGCGCUCAAAGGUUCCCUCGGGCUGGUUGGCAAUCAGCCUUUGAGUGCAAGGGCACAAGGGAGCUUGACUGUGAGACUGACAGGUCGAGCAGGUGCGAAAGCAGGACCUAGUGAUCCGGCGGUGGCAUGUGGGAGCGCCGUCGCUCAACGACUAAAAGCUACCCCGGGGAUAACAGGCUUAUCUCCCCCAAGAGUCCACAUCGACGGGGAGGUUUGGCACCUCGAUGUCGGCUCGUCGCAUCCUGGGGCCGGAGUAGGUCCCAAGGGUUGGGCUGUUCGCCCAUUAAAGCGGCACGCGAGCUGGGUUUAGAACGUCGUGAGACAGUUCGGUCCCUAUCCGCUGCGCGCGCAGGAGACUUGAGGAGGGCUGCCCCUAGUACGAGAGGACCGGGGUGGACGCACCUCUGGUGUGCCGGUUGUCCUGCCAAGGGCAUGGCCGGUUUGCUACGUGCGGAAGUGAUAAGCGCUGAAAGCAUCUAAGCGCGAAGCACUCUCCAAGAUAAGGUCUCCCACCGUCACGAACGGGUAAGGCCCCCUGCGAGACGACAGGGUUGAUAGGCCGGAGGUGUAAGCUCAGCAAUGGGUUCAGCCGACCGGUACUAAUAGGCCGAGGACUUGCCG